UACCAGGUGGAGGAUUUUUUCAACAUACAAGUCAUACAAGUAAUAUUGGUAUCAAAAAUAUUAGAAACUAUCUUAAGUUAAACUUGAUAUUUCCAUAACCUUACUUAUAAAAUCUCUCAGACAAUUGGAACUUGUAAACAACCCUUCUGAGCUAUCCCGCUCAUCUGGGGUGGAAUACUAACUGAAUCAGAAGUGAGCAACAGAGCUGAUAAUUAGACAAGUGAACAGUUACGGACUGCAAAUAAAUAGCAACAUUUGUAAGGAAGCCU
This 269-nucleotide long non-coding RNA is filed under the name Panax ginseng (ginseng). RNAcentral describes it as "long non-coding RNA (PGIN_LNC009488)". The record is from RNAcentral. Lineage: Eukaryota; Viridiplantae; Streptophyta; Magnoliopsida; Apiales; Araliaceae.